AUAAUCAUGGAGUAUAAUAAUUAAAUUUAAUAAAUUUAAUAUAACUAUUAAUAGAAUUAGGUUACUAAUAAAUUAAUAACAAUUAAUUUUAAAACCUAAAGGUAAACCUUUAUAUUAAUAAUGUUAUUUUUUAUUAUAUUUAUAAUAAGAAUAAUUAUUAAUAAUAAUAAACUAAGUGAACUGAAACAUCUAAGUAACUUAAGGAUAAGAAAUCAACAGAGAUAUUAUGAGUAUUGGUGAGAGAAAAUAAUAAAGGUCUAAUAAGUAUUAUGUGAAAAAAAUGUAAGAAAAUAGGAUAACAAAUUCUAAGACUAAAUACUAUUAAUAAGUAUAGUAAGUACCGUAAGGGAAAGUAUGAAAAUGAUUAUUUUAUAAGCAAUCAUGAAUAUAUUAUAUUAUAUUAAUGAUGUACCUUUUGUAUAAUGGGUCAGCAAGUAAUUAAUAUUAGUAAAACAAUAAGUUAUAAAUAAAUAGAAUAAUAUAUAUAUAUAUAAAAAUAUAUUAAAAUAUUUAAUUAAUAUUAAUUGACCCGAAAGCAAACGAUCUAACUAUGAUAAGAUGGAUAAACGAUCGAACAGGUUGAUGUUGCAAUAUCAUCUGAUUAAUUGUGGUUAGUAGUGAAAGACAAAUCUGGUUUGCAGAUAGCUGGUUUUCUAUGAAAUAUAUGUAAGUAUAGCCUUUAUAAAUAAUAAUUAUUAUAUAAUAUUAUAUUAAUAUUAUAUAAAGAAUGGUACAGCAAUUAAUAUAUAUUAGGGAACUAUUAAAGUUUUAUUAAUAAUAUUAAAUCUCGAAAUAUUUAAUUAUAUAUAAUAAAGAGUCAGAUUAUGUGCGAUAAGGUAAAUAAUCUAAAGGGAAACAGCCCAGAUUAAGAUAUAAAGUUCCUAAUAAAUAAUAAGUGAAAUAAAUAUUAAAAUAUUAUAAUAUAAUCAGUUAAUGGGUUUGACAAUAACCAUUUUUUAAUGAACAUGUAACAAUGCACUGAUUUAUAAUAAAUAAAAAAAAAAUAAUAUUUAAAAUCAAAUAUAUAUAUAUUUGUUAAUAGAUAAUAUACGGAUCUUAAUAAUAAGAAUUAUUUAAUUCCUAAUAUGGAAUAUUAUAUUUUUAUAAUAAAAAUAUAAAUACUGAAUAUCUAAAUAUUAUUAUUACUUUUUUUUUUAAUAAUAAUAAUAUGGUAAUAGAACAUUUAAUGAUAAUAUAUAUUAGUUAUUAAUUAAUAUAUGUAUUAAUUAAAUAGAGAAUGCUGACAUGAGUAACGAAAAAAAGGUAUAAACCUUUUCACCUAAAACAUAAGGUUUAACUAUAAAAGUACGGCCCCUAAUUAAAUUAAUAAGAAUAUAAAUAUAUUUAAGAUGGGAUAAUCUAUAUUAAUAAAAAUUUAUCUUAAAAUAUAUAUAUUAUUAAUAAUUAUAUUAAUAAUAUAUAUAAUUAUAUUAUAUAUUUUUUUUUAUAUAAUAUAAACUAAUAAAGAUCAGGAAAUAAUUAAUGUAUACCGUAAUGUAGACCGACUCAGGUAUGUAAGUAGAGAAUAUGAAGGUGAAUUAGAUAAUUAAAGGGAAGGAACUCGGCAAAGAUAGCUCAUAAGUUAGUCAAUAAAGAGUAAUAAGAACAAAGUUGUACAACUGUUUACUAAAAACACCGCACUUUGCAGAAACGAUAAGUUUAAGUAUAAGGUGUGAACUCUGCUCCAUGCUUAAUAUAUAAAUAAAAUUAUUUAACGAUAAUUUUAUUAAAUUUAGGUAAAUAGCAGCCUUAUUAUGAGGGUUAUAAUGUAGCGAAAUUCCUUGGCCUAUAAUUGAGGUCCCGCAUGAAUGACGUAAUGAUACAACAACUGUCUCCCCUUUAAGCUAAGUGAAAUUGAAAUCGUAGUGAAGAUGCUAUGUACCUUCAGCAAGACGGAAAGACCCUAUGCAGCUUUACUGUAAUUAGAUAGAUCGAAUUAUUGUUUAUUAUAUUCAGCAUAUUAAGUAAUCCUAUUAUUAGGUAAUCGUUUAGAUAUUAAUGAGAUACUUAUUAUAAUAUAAUGAUAAUUCUAAUCUUAUAAAUAAUUAUUAUUAUUAUUAUUAAUAAUAAUAAUAUGCUUUCAAGCAUAGUGAUAAAACAUAUUUAUAUGAUAAUCACUUUACUUAAUAGAUAUAAUUCUUAAGUAAUAUAUAAUAUAUAUUUUAUAUAUAUUAUAUAUAAUAUAAGAGACAAUCUCUAAUUGGUAGUUUUGAUGGGGCGUCAUUAUCAGCAAAAGUAUCUGAAUAAGUCCAUAAAUAAAUAUAUAAAAUUAUUGAAUAAAAAAAAUAAUAUAUAUUAUAUAUAUUAAUUAUAAAUUGAAAUAUGUUUAUAUAAAUUUAUAUUUAUUGAAUAUAUUUUAGUAAUAGAUAAAAAUAUGUACAGUAAAAUUGUAAGGAAAACAAUAAUAACUUUCCUCAAAAAAUAAUUAUGGAAAGAAUUAAAUUAAUAUAAUGGUAUAACUGUGCGAUAAUUGUAACACAAACGAGUGAAACAAGUACGUAAGUAUGGCAUAAUGAACAAAUAACACUGAUUGUAAAGGUUAUUGAUAACGAAUAAAAGUUACGCUAGGGAUAACAGGGUAAUAUAACGAAAGAGUAGAUAUUGUAAGUUAUGUUUGCCACCUCGAUGUCGACUCAACAUUUCCUCUUGGUUGUAAAAGCUAAGAAGGGUUUGACUGUUCGUCAAUUAAAAUGUUACGUGAGUUGGGUUAAAUACGAUGUGAAUCAGUAUGGUUCCUAUCUGCUGAAGGAAAUAUUAUCAAAUUAAAUCUCAUUAUUAGUACGCAAGGACCAUAAUGAAUCAACCCAUGGUGUAUCUAUUGAUAAUAAUAUAAUAUAUUUAAUAAAAAUAAUACUUUAUUAAUAUAUUAUCUAUAUUAGUUUAUAUUUUAAUUAUAUAUUAUCAUAGUAGAUAAGCUAAGUUGAUAAUAAAUAAAUAUUGAAUACAUAUUAAAUAUGAAGUUGUUUUAAUAAGAUAAUUAAUCUGAUAAUUUUAUACUAAAAUUAAUAAUUAUAGGUUUUAUAUAUUAUUUAUAAAUAAAUAUAAUAUAAUAAUAAUAAUUAUUAUUAUUAAUAAAAAAUAU
Molecule: ribosomal RNA, 3082 nt
Filed under: Saccharomyces cerevisiae (brewer's yeast)
Lineage: Eukaryota; Fungi; Ascomycota; Saccharomycetes; Saccharomycetales; Saccharomycetaceae
Rfam family: Bacterial large subunit ribosomal RNA
Source: RNAcentral